RNAcentral lists this ribosomal RNA (495 nucleotides) under uncultured bacterium. Its description in RNAcentral is "partial 16S ribosomal RNA". It matches the Rfam family "Bacterial small subunit ribosomal RNA", at positions 28 to 507 of the family's 1533-position model. The record is from RNAcentral.
GACGAACGCUGGCGGCGUGCCUAAUACAUGCAAGUAGAACGCUGAAGGAGGAGCUUGCUUCUCUGGAUGAGUUGCGAACGGGUGAGUAACGCGUAGGUAACCUGCCUGGUAGCGGGGGAUAACUAUUGGAAACGAUAGCUAAUACCGCAUAAGAGUAGAUGUCGCAUGACAUUUGCUUAAAAGGUGCAAUUGCAUCACUACCAGAUGGACCUGCGUUGUAUUAGCUAGUUGGUGAGGUAACGGCUCACCAAGGCAACGAUACAUAGCCGACCUGAGAGGGGGGUCGGCCACACUGGGACUGAGACACGGCCCAGACUCCUACGGGAGGCAGCAGUAGGGAAUCUUCGGCAAUGGACGGAAGUCUGACCGAGCAACGCCGCGGGAGUGAAGAAGGUUUUCGGAUCGUAAAGCUCUGUUGUAAGAGAAGAACGAGUGUGAGAGUGGAAAGUUCACACUGUGACGGUAUCUUACCAGAAAGGGACGGCUAACUACGUG